UCCGGCUAGUUGGGUUGCAAAUUAAAGGUUCCGGCGUCUUAGAGAUUGGUGUGCGUCUGAUUAGCUUAGUUGGGCGGGGUAACCGGCCCACCAAGGCGACGAUCAGGUAGGGGGUGUGAGAGCAUGACCCCCCACAUGGGUACUGAGACACGGACCCAACUCCUACGGGAGGCAGCAGUAAGGAAUAUUGGACAAUGGGCGGAAGCCUGAUCCAGCCAUGCCGCGUGAAGGAUGAAGGCGCUCAGCGUUGUAAACUUCUUUUGGAUGGGGACAAUAAUCUCGAUUUAUCGGGACUUGAGGGUACCAUCAGAAUAAGCACCGGCUAACUCCGUG
Molecule: ribosomal RNA, 333 nt
Filed under: uncultured bacterium
Lineage: Bacteria
Description: bacterial SSU rRNA
Rfam family: Bacterial small subunit ribosomal RNA
Source: RNAcentral